Molecule: long non-coding RNA, 679 nt
Organism: Neofelis nebulosa (Clouded leopard)
Lineage: Eukaryota; Metazoa; Chordata; Mammalia; Carnivora; Felidae
Exons: 2
Source: RefSeq, a predicted model, not a curated record
CCUGGAAGAAAGCACCAGAGCUGAGCUGUACCACACAGACCUCUUUCUCAUUCACGUUAGGAAAGCAUGCACACCUGGCCUAACGUCUUUAUAAGGGAAGGGAGCAAUGUCAUUGGGUCAGUGACUUUAGGUGAAUUGUUGCUCUUUUAUUUGGGAGAGCCUGGCCCUGUGACCAGACUCUUAAACCCUUCCAGAAAGUGAACCAUCAGGUAUGUUGUAUCUCAGCCUGUCAUCUGCAUUACUGUUUAUCUGUAACUAAUCAUUUUAGUUAACUGUAUAAGAUUAACAACCUCUCACCCACUCUUUUUCUGAGUUACUUUUAAAUCUGUAUGUUCUGGGGUCCCAGAGGGGCACCAGGUAUUGUGUUCUAACCUACACUUAAAUGUCUGUGUUUAUAAUUCUGAGGGAACCAAGACAGAAAGAAUAUUCCCGUGUCAGUGUAUCAGGAGCGCCCCAGUAUGGUUUUAUUUAAGCUAAACUAUAGGACAUCCAAGGAACUGAAACUCUGAGCACUUUCCCAGUUAGUAGAAACCUAAUACUAAAACCCUCAGCCCCAGCUGAAGCCAUCUGAGGGCACAAAGGACACAGAAUUAAGCAUAACAGAGUAUCCACUACUUUUUCAUGAGCUGUCCAUAUCCCCUCCCCUUGAAUCUACGAAUAAAGGAGCAUCAGUGAGUGA